RNAcentral lists this long non-coding RNA (3022 nucleotides) under Medicago truncatula (barrel medic). RNAcentral describes it as "long non-coding RNA (MTRU_LNC008134)". The record is from RNAcentral. Lineage: Eukaryota; Viridiplantae; Streptophyta; Magnoliopsida; Fabales; Fabaceae.
UUCCGUUAGGGUUGUGAAAAAACUGUUAAGGGGUUAACCCCAAAUGUCUCACGUGAGCUCACAUUAUAGGUGGUCCACCAAAGACCUUAGUAAUACUUUUAAUCUCAACCGUUUGAUAUUUUUUAUUGAAAAACAACCAUUAGAUCAUACAUGUCUACGGGAUCUAACUAUAUACCACCAACACUUAAUUUGUUUUUUAGCUUUCUUCAUCUCCUUCCCUCAUUCUCUUCUUCAUAUUCAUCAUCACAUGCAUACAUUCAUAACAAAACUAUAAAAAAAAACCAGAAAAAUCUAAAAAAUAAAUUAAAAACAACCAAAAAAAUCAUAAUCAUAAUAACAAUUAUUUUCACUUAAAAAACAUCACUUUCAUUUAUCUAACAACACAAAUUUUCAAAUCCCAACAACCAAAAUCUCCAAACCCACAAAAUCAUAAUCAUCAUCAUUUUUACAUAUUCAUACUGUCCUACCACAUAAAUCCCAUUUUCUAGCUUGUUAAUCCUCUCUCCUCCAUCAAUUUUCUUCUUUCUCAGCAAGAUCAAAAGAUUGUUGUUGUUGUUUCUUCUCUCCUCCAUUUUUGAGCUUGCCAAUUCUCUCUCCUCCGUCAGUUUUCUUCUUUCUCAGCAAUAUCAAAAGAUUAAGGGAUAUACUUUCUGCAUUUGUUUCUCUAUUAUAUGUAUGGAUCUGUUUAAUAGAUAUGGGUUGCUCGAAAUUGCAGAUCCGAAUGAAGGAGGGAGUAUGUGAAUUGUUGUUUAUGAAAUUUUGGUGGAUAUGUUUAUUGUUGCAUAUUCGAAAUUUCAGAUCUGAAAUUUUGGUGAUUUUUGUUGUUUAUUGUUGUUUAUGAUGGUGGUGUUGAUGAUGUUGUUGUUGAAUUUCUAGAUUUUUUAUGGAUUUUUAAUGAAGCUUGAUGAUUUUCUAGUUUUUUUUUUUGUUUUUGAGUUGUUCAUGUUGCGUUCUUUAUUAUUUUCUUUGAAUGUUUAUGUUCUGUUCUUCAUAUUUUCCAGAAAGGAGAUGAAGGAUUAUAUGGAGAAGAUGAAGGAAAUAAAUAAGUUUUCAACUAAUGUCAAAACGACAUGUGUACCACACUUAACGUUUUUUUGAAUUUAUUUAACAGAAGAGACCAAAACAGAUAACAGAGAUAAAGAUAAAGUACUGAAAAAAUCUUUUUUUUUAGUUAAGGGACCAAAACGAUACCAAAUAAAUACUUAAGAGACCAAAAGAGCAUUUAAACCUAUAUUAAAGUAUAUUAAAUUAAAAUUAAAAUACACUAUAUGAUGAAGUAAUUUCUUACACUUGUGUUCUAUCAAAAUAAAAUAAAUGUACGACUAUGUAGUUUUCUAUUAUUAAUAAAAUUACAAUUUAAAAUCAUUUAUAUAUAUAUAUAUAUAUAUAUAUAUAUAUAUCAUCUUCUUAUAGGGAUAUUUUAGUCAUUUUAUUAAAUAUAAAUCUUUCUUUCCUUCCACUUUCACUCAUACCAAACAACUAAGGGUGUGUUUGUUUCAAGUUAUAAUUGUUGAUUCCCGGGAAUAAAAUGAUAGAAAUGUAUAUGCCUUUGUUACAAGUUUACUAAAAUUUAUUCCUUGGUAUAAAAUGUUCCUGGGAAUAGAAAAAAUUUUCCAAGGAAUAAAGUUCCCAUGGAGAUGGAAAUAAAUUCAUAAAUAGUUUACCUAUUAUAAUCCCUAUUUUUAUGGUUCCUAGGAAUAUUAUAAAGCUAACCAAACAUAUUUUUCCUAAAUUCCUUGGAAUAAAAUUCCCAUCUUUAUAUUCCAAGGAAUGUUAUUCCUAGGAAUAAAUUUGGUAAACUUGAAACAAACACACCCUAAAGAAUCAUCUCACUUUCCAUUCACUUUCUUUCCUUUAACAAUCUUUCCUCUUACUAUCUUUCCUUUCACUUUCUUUGAUCUUCCAAAUAUACCCUUAACCUUUAUUGUUGUUGGUUUGUAUUUCUCGAACUUGUAUAGUUGUUGACAUUCAUCUUUUACUACGGAUGAUCAAAUAUUUCAUAAAAGUGUUGACUUUUUAUCUUGAAUUUUAUUUAAAAUCUCUAUCAUCAUACGUUUGAACUCACGGUCGAUCUACUCAUAAAAUUCUUCAGCAAUAGUGGAUGGGAAACGAGGGAUCGGAGAAUGCUCCGCACCCUCGCGGUGCCUCGUUGAGAUCCGUAAUAUGGACCCCUACUGUGUGCGUCGCCACACAGCGAGACCUGGUGCAUCAAAUGCGUGAUCUGCACGCAUAAUUAUUAGAACGUGGUUAUGAAACAUUUUCUAUUUGCUAUAUGGAUCUCCGCCGACAAUAGCGUUGUUUGAUUCUAUGUAUCUCUCCACAAGUCAGAAUCAGCUAUCAUGAUGGAAGUGAAAAAUGCUUCCAAAGAUUCCACCAUUUUCAUGUGAGGAAAACGAUGCACAAUCCCAAUCUCUCACCAACAAAUUUAAUAUAGAAUUUAAUUAAAUUAGAUUAAAUGAAUUUCCUAAACUAUCGACACAGGGGCUUAAUAUAAAAUGGAUCAUAUUCAUACUAACAAAUACUCUAGGUACAACAUUAUUUGAGGAAUUUACUAAAAAAAUUGUUUUUUUAAAGUAAAAAAAAAUGUUUUGUAAAUCAAACACAUGUAAAAGUUAUAAUUACAUAUUUUUUUUAUAUAAAAAUUACUCUUUUUGAUUGAUUAAACAAUAUUUCAAAGAUGCUAACAAUUGCUAAUAUUUUACACAUAAAAUCCAUCAUAACAUUGUGGUGAAGAUAAAGAUAAUUAUCCCCAUGAGCUAGCUCAGUUUGUAGGAAUAUUACAUUUUAUAUGCAGGGGUCGAGUUCGAAUCCCGGAAACUCCAUUUCUCCAUAAUUAAAUUAUGUGAGCUCUAGUCAAUAGACUACUUGACAAAAAAAGAUAGAGAUAGUUUAUAAAUUAAUAAUAUAAAGAUAAAGAUAGUAAAUUUUUAAAAUAAUUUUAUGAUUCAUUAUUUUACUUUUUUAGAAUUAUUUAAUAUUUAUAUUGAUAAUGUAGUAAUUUUUUUUAAGGGAUUGAUAAAGU